Gallus gallus (chicken) is the source of this 510-nucleotide long non-coding RNA. The record is from Ensembl. Lineage: Eukaryota; Metazoa; Chordata; Aves; Galliformes; Phasianidae.
AUGCCCACGCCUCCCGCCUCCUGUUGGCAGCCGCCUCGCGGCUCAUGGCUGCGGCUGCCCUGGCUCCAAUCAAGGGGUGGAUUUGCUGGAGGCUGCCUCUUGCAGAGCAGUCAGCAGCCUCCGCGCCUCCACUCGCAGUCCUCUCGCAGAACUCUGCUGUCACACGCACUGGCAAGGUCUCAGUGGCUCGUGCUCCCACAGGAAGACGUUCGCACCUCGAGAGUCGCCAGCAAGACUCAGCGCGGGCUGGGCCCGCUGGGGAUGGGUAGGAAUGCGGCCCACUGUGAGGUCACGGGGUGACUGUGACUCUCCGGUGCCAUCACGAAGCACACAGAUAGGUGGAGGUUUGCUGCCCCGUGGCUAUUGCGUCAGUAUUUGGGGCAUUUGCCUGCCAGAGCGCACCCAAGGACUUUCAGUGGGCCAUUUUCCCAAGCAGUGACAAAUAAAGGAUUUCUUGAAGCAAGCAGUAGAGCAGCUUUGGUGUUGCCGUUGAUCAGUGCAGUAGCUGUG